GUACUGAUGAAGAGUCCCAAACUAGGACGAAACGCCUCUCCAGUAC
This is a non-coding RNA of Trichobilharzia regenti, 46 nucleotides long. Lineage: Eukaryota; Metazoa; Platyhelminthes; Trematoda; Strigeidida; Schistosomatidae. The record is from Rfam.